Nycticebus coucang (slow loris) is the source of this 464-nucleotide long non-coding RNA. RefSeq lists it as uncharacterized. The transcript has 3 exons. Lineage: Eukaryota; Metazoa; Chordata; Mammalia; Primates; Lorisidae. The record is from RefSeq and is a predicted model, not a curated record.
AAGGACUUGGAGGCUUGUCCAGAAAGACCCCAGCAUUGGAAUCAGAUGGCCCCCUUUGACCUUGGGGUCUAUUUCCCAGAGUGAGAGAUUCUGGCAUAGAAACGGCAUGAGGGUCUGCAAGAAAGGAGAGGAGGCCAGUCCAGCAACAAGGAAAGACUUUAAUAGAGGGGCGAAGCAGAGUGGAAACUGACCAGAAUCUGUGUUUUUCCAGCCCCUGGAAUAUUGGCAUAUUGGACUUUGCACAAGCAUGGGACCUAACAGUGAGUAUUUCCUCUCUGUCUCUCCUGAGUAACACCCCCUGGUUUAUGCCUCUGAGUCCUACUCUCCACCUCAGUCUAUCCAUUUCCCUGAGACUCUGUAUCUGACCUCAUGUGCCCCUGUGCUGUGGCAGGGGCUGACUCUAAGAUUUCCCAUGGAGUAGCUUCUGAAUUUGCUCCCUGGAGAAGGUCCAGCUUACCUGCUGA